This 763-nucleotide long non-coding RNA is filed under the name Musa acuminata (dwarf banana). Its description in RNAcentral is "long non-coding RNA (MACU_LNC005540)". The record is from RNAcentral. Lineage: Eukaryota; Viridiplantae; Streptophyta; Magnoliopsida; Zingiberales; Musaceae.
GGCGCCAAUAUCUCCGGCGGCCACGUGAAUCCGGCGGUCACCUUCGGGCUGGCUCUGGGAGGCCAGAUUACCAUCCUCACUGGGAUCUUCUACUGGGUCGCGCAGUUGCUUGGAGCUGUCGUUGGAGCUUUUCUCGUCAAGUUCGCGACAGGACUGGUAAGAUCGGAACAAAGCAUGCUUGUGGUGGGUUGACGCAAGAGAGAGCUAAAUGCUUGUCUUCCACUGAAACAUGUAGGACACCCCCACCCAUGGCCUGGGAGACGGAGUGGGAGCAGGAGAGGCGGUGGUGAUGGAGAUCAUCAUCACCUUCGCCCUCGUGUACACGGUGUACGCGACGGCGGCCGACCCGAAGAAGGGCUCUCUCGGCACCAUCGCCCCCAUAGCCAUCGGCUUCAUCGUCGGCGCCAACAUCCUCGCGGCGGGCCCCUUCUCCGGAGGGUCGAUGAACCCGGCGCGCUCCUUCGGGCCGGCCGUCGCCAGCGGGAACUUCUCCGACCUCUGGAUCUACUGGGUCGGUCCCCUCAUCGGUGGCGGCAUCGCCGGGCUGGUGUACACCUACGCCUACAUGUGCUCAGACCACCAGCCACUCCCUCAGUGACCUGCAAGCAAGCUCAGCUGAAUAAGAACGAGAGAUAUGAGUUGCUGAGUGCUUGAUGUUGCUUGUGUUUUGGAAGUCUGAAGCCAAUUUGCUUGUGUGUUUCUCUGAGCUUCUUAAGAUUUCCAGUGUCAUCUUCUUCGCAAUCAAGUUCUUAUUCACUUUUGA